RNAcentral lists this ribosomal RNA (305 nucleotides) under uncultured bacterium. RNAcentral's name for it is "bacterial SSU rRNA". It matches the Rfam family "Bacterial small subunit ribosomal RNA", at positions 334 to 655 of the family's 1533-position model. The record is from RNAcentral.
UUUCCCUACGGGACGCAGCAGUGGGGGAUAUUGCACAAUGGGGGAAACCCUGAUGCAGCGACGCCGCGUGAGUGAAGAAGUAUUUCGGUAUGUAAAGCUCUCUCAGCAGGGAAGAAAAAAGACGGUACCUGACUAAGAAGCCCCGGCUAACUACGUGCCAGCAGCCGCGGUAAUACGUAGGGGGCAAGCGUUAUCCGGAUUUACUGGGUGUAAAGGGAGCGUAGACGGCAAUACAAGUCGGAAGUGAAAUACCCGGGCUCAACCUGGGAACUGCUUUGGAAACUGUAUGGCUAGAGUGCUGGGUG